CGCUUUAAAACCGUUCAGAGAACAAACGGACGUUAUUAAAAUAUAUAAAAAAUAUGAAGUGGCUGUCGAUUGCAUUCGUUUUGUGUCUUCUGGCCAUUGCUAGCGCUAACCCCUAAGCCCCGGAGAUUUGACUAUCGGUAAAUGCGUGGAGUGCAACAUUCAAACCGUCUAAGCGAUGCAAUGUUGAUGAUGCUAUUGCUCUAAUUUUAAUGUGUCAGGAUGUGAAAACUAUUGAUUUAGUUUAUGCCAGACUUAAACAAUAAACAUAUGUGCAUUUAAA
Scaptodrosophila lebanonensis is the source of this 280-nucleotide long non-coding RNA. RefSeq lists it as uncharacterized. Lineage: Eukaryota; Metazoa; Arthropoda; Insecta; Diptera; Drosophilidae. The record is from RefSeq and is a predicted model, not a curated record. The transcript is spliced from 2 exons.